CGUGAUCGGAGACGCAUAUUUAUAUGGGGAUGUGUUUCCCAGCAAACUAGAGGUGCUCUUCUACAGCAAACGGCGUUACUGAUUCGGCGGUCGUGCUGGUUGUAUCCAUUAUUCAGCCCUUUCAAUGCCUUCUGGUCUCCAUAUAUUCAGAACAUAAUUUCUGACACUUAUGGGAUAACUAUCCCUCCUAUUGAAUAUGCUCGCUUUUGCUGCCUGUAAUAUUCAGUCACUAAUACUGUGACCAGCAUAUUUACCUUUUGGCUUGUUUUGGAAAUAUCAAUAGCUCCCGAUGAAGCGGAUUCCCCCGCGAAACAUGUAGAGCUUGUCUUGAAUAUCAAUAUACAUGACAGCCGUCACCCUGUUGAUGUCUUACUUGGACCAGUUUUUUGGUUUAAAUGUGUUGUAAUCAUUGCAAUUUCUGUGAUAAUUCAUCCUGUACUUUUUAAUGUUUUUUAUAAAUGUAAUUACAUCAUUGUUGAUUCAAUAGCCCA
Molecule: long non-coding RNA, 491 nt
Organism: Rana temporaria (common frog)
Lineage: Eukaryota; Metazoa; Chordata; Amphibia; Anura; Ranidae
Exons: 3
Source: RefSeq, a predicted model, not a curated record